AUCAUGGCUCAGGACGAACGCUGGCGGCGUGCCUAAUACAUGCAAGUCGAACGCGUCUCCGUUAAUGAUUUUAGGUGCUUGCACUUGAAAGAUUUAACAUUGAGACGAGUGGCGAACUGGUGAGUAACACGUGGGUAACCUGCCCUUGAAGUAGGGGAUAACACUUGGAAACAGGUGCUAAUACCGUAUAACAACCAAAACCACCUGGUUUUGGUUUAAAAGACGGCUUCGGCUGUCACUUUAGGAUGGACCCGCGGCGUAUUAGCUUGUUGGUAAGGUAACGGCCUACCAAGGCGAUGAUACGUAGCCGACCUGAGAGGGUAAUCGGCCACAUUGGGACUGAGACACGGCCCAAACUCCUACGGGAGGCAGCAGUAGGGAAUCUUCCACAAUGGACGAAAGUCUGAUGGAGCAACGCCGCGUGAGUGAUGAAGGGUUUCGGCUCGUAAAACUCUGUUGUUGGAGAAGAACAGGUGUCAGAGUAACUGUUGACAUCUUGACGGUAUCCAACCAGAAAGCCACGGCUAACUACGUGCCAGCAGCCGCGGUAAUACGUAGGUGGCAAGCGUUGUCCGGAUUUAUUGGGCGUAAAGCGAGCGCAGGCGGUUUUUUAGGUCUGAUGUGAAAGCCUUCGGCUUAACCGGAGAAGUGCAUCGGAAACCGGGAGACUUGAGUGCAGAAGAGGACAGUGGAACUCCAUGUGUAGCGGUGAAAUGCGUAGAUAUAUGGAAGAACACCAGUGGCGAAGGCGGCUGUCUGGUCUGUAACUGACGCUGAGGCUCGAAAG
Molecule: ribosomal RNA, 787 nt
Filed under: Lentilactobacillus buchneri
Lineage: Bacteria; Bacillati; Bacillota; Bacilli; Lactobacillales; Lactobacillaceae
Description: bacterial SSU rRNA
Rfam family: Bacterial small subunit ribosomal RNA
Source: RNAcentral